UACGUGGGGUGCGAGCGUUAAUCGGAAUUACUGGGCGUAAAGUGUGCGCAGGCGGCCGCGCAAGUCGAGUGUGAAAGCCCCGGGCUUAACUUGGGAAUUGCGCUCGAAACUACGUGGCUGGAGUGUGGCAGAGGAAGGUGGAAUUCCACGUGUAGCGGUGAAAUGCGUAGAGAUGUGGAGGAACACCAAUGGCGAAGGCAGCCUUCUGGGCCAACACUGACGCUCAUGCACGAAAGCGUGGGGAGCAAACAGG
This 253-nucleotide ribosomal RNA is filed under the name uncultured bacterium. RNAcentral describes it as "partial 16S ribosomal RNA". It matches the Rfam family "Bacterial small subunit ribosomal RNA", at positions 524 to 776 of the family's 1533-position model. The record is from RNAcentral.